RNAcentral lists this long non-coding RNA (648 nucleotides) under Marmota monax (woodchuck). The record is from RNAcentral. Lineage: Eukaryota; Metazoa; Chordata; Mammalia; Rodentia; Sciuridae.
GGCAGGCAGGCCUUGACGAGGGGCUGGGCAGAGCCAGUGCCCGGGGCCACCCCCAUCCUGGAGGAUGCAGACAGGGGUUCCUGGGCUUGCAGAGGGCAUCUUGGAGUGCCCAGCUGUGGCCCCCUGUGUUCACCAAUCCCAAGCGGGGAGCCUGCUGGGCAGCCGGCCGGGCACCAGCACUCUGCGACAGUGGUCCACUUCACCUGUUGAAUAGAGCCCUUGUUGCUUUGAGGAUUAAAAAGGGCAGUUUUUUUCCUCUCUUCUCCCCUCUCCCCUCCCUAAGGAGAUGGGGGAACUCUGUUGUCUUUUCUCCCCCUAGGGGAUUGUCCUUGGACACCCCCACCUCAGGAAGGAGGUGUCUGCUGAGGACCUAAGAAGUGAACUGCAGCUCACCUCAGGGCACAGCUGGGACCUGGCAGGGCACAGCUGGCCUGUGGCCUUGAAUGGCUCCUGAAAGCCCUCGGCUCCCUGAGGGGCAGAACCCCAGCCUCCGGGACUGAGUCCUCUGCGCUUCUCCUUUGCUCCUCCCUUUCCUCUUCCUGAAAACCGUGUCCUCCUUAUUAAAUCGGCAUGAAGUGGCAUCCAGGACAAGGACUGAGCUCUCCGUGACAGUCUGGGUGGGUGCAGUGGAGCUCCCGCACCACCUUG